Felis catus (domestic cat) is the source of this 492-nucleotide long non-coding RNA. RefSeq lists it as uncharacterized. The record is from RefSeq and is a predicted model, not a curated record. Lineage: Eukaryota; Metazoa; Chordata; Mammalia; Carnivora; Felidae. The transcript has 2 exons.
AGCAGGUAGAAGGUGCUGCACUGGAGGGCUCGAGAUUAGGUUUGGGGUUGGGGCCUUCCAGAAGUGCUACUCUACUGGAGUGUGAUUUGGGCUAAACCAACCACUCUCCAGUCCCUUGGUUUUGUCACCUUGGAAAAGAAGUGAUUUUAGUAUCAAUGAUUCCAUCCUAACAUUCUCCUUUCAUGUUUUUGACAGAGGCAGUUCCCACAUCCCAGUUACCGUAUAUGAUGGCAGUUUCCAGCUUUUAUCUCAGAAACAUACCAACACAUGAAGAGAAAAGCAACAGAAAUGUGAUCCUUUCUAACUGCUCUGAAACUCUGAACAGAAAAAGAGUAACCAGAAAGAUUCUUAUACAUGAUUAUGUUUAUUUUCUUCUGUCCUAUAUACAGGAGAGUCAACUCAUAUAAUGAGCAGCUUUUAGAAGGAGUGAGGUGGAUUUGGAGGUGACACCAGUAUGUCAUAUAUUAGCAUAAAAAGCAAGUUACAAGACAA